Long non-coding RNA from Oreochromis niloticus (Nile tilapia), 1556 nucleotides. RefSeq lists it as uncharacterized. Lineage: Eukaryota; Metazoa; Chordata; Actinopteri; Cichliformes; Cichlidae. The record is from RefSeq and is a predicted model, not a curated record. The transcript is spliced from 3 exons.
UCCGGUUCAGACGGUGUUUUUUACUGUGCGCUGGAGUACGCAUUAAAGUUUUGUAACGGACCAACAUCGGGAGUGAUUAUUGGCUCGUCGCAUCACACGAGAGUGCUACAAAAAGUUAAAACACAGAGACGCGGUGAAGUUUAGGACCGGCUGUGUCGGAAGGAUACAGAUGGAAAAAAAAAUGUUGCCUCGGAGUGACGUCAUCGAUGUCCGAACGUGAACUACUUCUCCUUUUUUGUUUGUUUGUUGUUGUUGUGGCACUAUUCUGUCCGAGCUGUCAAACGUCACUAAAAUGUGACACAGUCCGUUACUAGUUUUACGUUAAACCUUGGAUUUGAUCAAAUCAGUGUUAAAAGUCGGUUAUAGAUGUUUCAACAGCGUCUUACAAUGCGUGUUAUACCAGCCUGAGUGUGGGAUCAGGAGUUAAGAACACGGACAUGUCUGCUGUGACUGCGUGGGCUGUUCCACUCAACUGUCUGUCGGACUCUUCGUGUUUGUCUCUGCAGGUGAGAUUUAACCGCUACAAACCAAACCGUUAUCUCUGAGAUGGAGAGGAGUGAGGAGGAUCGGCCUGGAUCACAUACCAGAAAAUCAUCACAGCUGAGUCUGGACAGGACGUCACUCUGACAUGUCGAGCUCCAAACAACAACAUCAGACUCGUUGAGUGGAGCAGAGCUGACCUGGUAGAUGAAUAUGUGCUCUUGUACCGGGAUAGAUACUUUCUUCCAGACAACCAGCAUCCAUCUUUUAAGAACCGGGUGGAUCUGUGGGACAGACGGAUGAAGGAUGGAGACGUGUCUUUGAUUCUGAAGGAUGUGAGGGCUGCUGAUAGUGGAACAUAUGAGUGUCGUGUCAUCAUGAGACGAACACAUGAAGACAUCACAAGCAUCAUCCACCUUAAUGUUGUUCCUCCAGGUCAGACAGGAUGGCACAGAAAGGAUGGAUUAUAUGAACUGACAUGUGGACUGGGAGUUGCUCUGUCACUUUGUCUUGUGAUUGCUGUUGUUGGGUUUUGCACAUACAAAUGUCGACUGUCCCGAAACACUACUCCACCUCGUCAGACUCCACAGCAGAACUAUGAGUCGGAGGAUCUGAGGACAGGCUGUAGACGUCAAACAUCCAGAGUUUGAUUAUCUUUGUCAUUUCUCUGAUUAUCAUCAUGUUUAGACUCAGACCAACAGUGUGUGUAUGUGCUGUUGUUCCUGGGAUUUACUGACACAAACUGUUACAAACAUGUAUGAAGUCAUGUGCAAUAAUCUCUGAAUCUGUGAGUGCUUUUGUAUUUUUACCUUCAGGAUCAGCAGCUGCCUGUAAACUCGCCAUAUUCUGUGAGGCGUGAACCACACAAACUAGGAUUUCUAUGAAACUAAAGAUUCAUGUACAUGCAAACUCAGAUAUUUCUUUCCUGAUCUGAGCUACAAGGUUAUCCACAUAUUUUUUAAUUAUUUAACUUUUCAUGAUGAGACACUAACAUGUGCGAAUAAUGUAAAGUUCUUAUUCGUAUGCAGCUUUCUUCAACUGUUUUUAAUGUUAAUAAAGAUUUACAUCUAAACCUA